This is a long non-coding RNA of Culicoides brevitarsis, 836 nucleotides long. RefSeq lists it as uncharacterized. The transcript has 3 exons. The record is from RefSeq and is a predicted model, not a curated record. NCBI's taxonomy places the organism in Eukaryota, Metazoa, Arthropoda, Insecta, Diptera, Ceratopogonidae.
ACACGUUUCUCGUUCAGAGAGUCGCAGCAGCAAUAUUAUUAAUUUAAUGAUAUGCGCAUAUAUAUUUUAUUUAUUUGCCGUGUUCUGGUGUAAGUACGCGCGAAACUGAUAACGUUCCGUUGUUGCUAUAAAUAAAUUAGAGGGGAAUUUUCGUACUUGGUUCCCGAUUUUCAAAAAAAAAAGUUACUGCGAAGAAGAAAAGCGUUCGAACGUCAUGAAAUAGAGCAAAAAAAAAUGUGAAACGUAAUUCGGUCACGUGUACAGGAUGGUGCAAAAAGUCGAAGCGAGUUGUUUAUAACACAAAAAAAAAUUAUAUUUAGAACUUGAAGGUAUAGAUUCAUUCAUUUACAUUCGGAUUAACAUGUUCAAAGAGUAGUUUUUAUAACGAGCUUGAAUGAAAUAACAACAAAAAAAAAAAAAUACAAAUACGGAAUAAAAAGUAACAGGAUGCAUUGAAUGGCGCAUUGAUAGUGCGAGGUGUUCGCAGCGAGACUUGUAAAUGCCACAUUAUGCAUAUUGAUGACGAUUGAACGGCAAACAACGACGACGUGGAGUGUAGGUACAAAGAAAUUGUUUGAUGUUUAUUUACAUUUUUUUUCCUGUACAACGAUGCGAGAAGGCAGUGCGAGGAGCGAAAAGAAAAAGAGAAGUAACGCAUAGAACUGGAAAUAAAUCAUGAUUCUAGCUGUACCUUAAUGAGGCCUAAGCGAUUUUGAAAAAUAUUUUUGAGAAUUUUUAAAGAAAAUAUUUAAUAUCGAAUCUUUUAUUAAAUUUUUGCAUUUUAGAAUUAAAAAAACAAAAUUUUUAAUUUUUUAGAAUAAAAAAAAAAAAAUUUU